Molecule: ribosomal RNA, 242 nt
Filed under: uncultured bacterium
Lineage: Bacteria
Description: partial 16S ribosomal RNA
Rfam family: Bacterial small subunit ribosomal RNA
Source: RNAcentral
UGGGGAAUAUUGGACAAUGGGGGCAACCCUGAUCCAGCAAUGCCGCGUGUGUGAAGAAGGUUUUCGGAUUGUAAAGCACUUUCGACGGGGACGAUGAUGACGGUACCCGUAGAAGAAGCCCCGGCUAACUUCGUGCCAGCAGCCGCGGUAAUACGAAGGGGGCUAGCGUUGCUCGGAAUGACUGGGCGUAAAGGGCGUGUAGGCGGUUUGUACAGUCAGAUGUGAAAUCCCCGGGCUUAACC